AGGCAUGCUCUAUAGGCAUCAGGGAAAAGGUUAUAGUCUGCUGAAAGUCAUUUCUCUAUCCAUAUGUGUAUAUCAUUAAUGCAUAUGAAGGUAUGAGAAUUGUGUUGCAUGGUUGUCACUAAAGCAUGCUGUAAAUUGGGGAAUAAGCCAAACAUUAGCUCCCCAGAGGCAAGGGCAAGAAAAGUAGCCA
Molecule: long non-coding RNA, 190 nt
Organism: Chelonia mydas (Green sea turtle)
Lineage: Eukaryota; Metazoa; Chordata; Testudines; Cheloniidae
Exons: 3
Source: RefSeq, a predicted model, not a curated record